Oreochromis aureus is the source of this 433-nucleotide long non-coding RNA. RefSeq lists it as uncharacterized. The transcript has 3 exons. The record is from RefSeq and is a predicted model, not a curated record. Lineage: Eukaryota; Metazoa; Chordata; Actinopteri; Cichliformes; Cichlidae.
CCCAAGCUGAGUAGUGGGGUUGAGUGGUUAAGAAAGCAAAUGUUUGGAAAAUUAACCCUUCCUGACAUUAAAGCUGGCAGUUUGCUGUUUGUUUUCUCUGAAUGGGAUCUGACAAAGUUAAAAGGUUGAACCUGUCUGCACAUGCAUAUGCAGCUCCUACUGAUAGACAAAGGAGGCCAGUGUGUCUGUAGACUCUGAGGAUUAUGAUUAACCCGUUGAUUACCGAGGAAGCACUGGGGAAAGAUGGAGGUGUGAGAAUGAGGGAGGGAACUGGAGAAACAAUGCAAAAGAUAAGGAGAAGGUGUGGGUGAGAAGCAGGGGAAAAGGUGACAAACAUCUCAACAGCUAGUGAUAUGGUGUGUGUGUGUGUGUGUGUGUCUGUGUGUGUGUGUGAGAGAGAGAGAUUGUGGCAUAAUGCCAAGCUAUCUCACCU